RNAcentral lists this long non-coding RNA (1168 nucleotides) under Anser cygnoides (Swan goose). RNAcentral's name for it is "lncRNA (ENSACDG00005004318.1)". Lineage: Eukaryota; Metazoa; Chordata; Aves; Anseriformes; Anatidae. The record is from RNAcentral.
AUGUUUAAGCAUCUCUUACACCUAGCCAACAACAAGGAAUUCAAAAUCAUGCUAUUUAUGGCUCUUCAAAAUGCAAACCUUUGUUACCAGUCAUCACAGAGGGGAAUAAUUGUCUUUAUGGUCAUCAGCUUUGACAGAUUUUUGGAAAACUGGAUGACAGUCAUAUGAACUCUUAAAAUAGUAGCUGAAGGAUGAGGAAAAAUAUAGAGCCCAAUCCUGCCAUGGAAACUGUGUGGGUGCAAGGCUAUUACAAUUCAUCUCUGUCUGCAAGACACUAACACUGGAAGAAAGGAGAAAAGAAUCGAUUCAAAGAAAGAAAUUCUUACUCAUGAUAAAAUUUAGAAUGAUAGCCAGCUUUUGUAGGAACCUUAUGUUGGAAAUAUAAGAGAAUACCUUCAUAAGUGCUUCUGCUCACACUGUUAUUGUAUGUACAGACUUAGCCCUCCAGGAGUUUCCAGUCUGAUUGCAUUUCAUGCACUGUUUCAGCUUUACAGCUAUCAUUUUAGUCAAGCAGAAAAAUCCUUUUAUUGUGUAUUUAACUAUUUUUAUAUUACAAUAUUGAAAUAUCAUAAAACAUUCCUAUAAUGAUUGUUUCACCUGCUUUCUCACAGGGAAUUUAGUGGAUGACAAAUUUAUAGAUGCAGUUGUGUUGAAUUUAUUACUAUUAUUUAAUAAGCAUCUGCUGAUGGGUUUUGAUUUCACCUAUGAGUCCUUUACCUUGGAAGAGCUGAGAUCAUAUAUGGCUCCUGUCAUUUGCCAGUGAAAGGAGUGUGAAGAGGACGGUGUUACUAAAUGCCAGAAAACAGAAUUCUGAGAGACAUUAUUUACAUGCAUAUAAGGGCUACUCUUGUUGUAUUUCAGUAUUGAAUCAGACAUGGGGUUAAAAGCACUAUGUAACAUAAUUUUGAAUGCAGUGAACAAGAGUCGACAUCAAUAUUGUCAUAUUUUUAUUAAGUGUCUGUGAAAUAAUAGAAGCUGAAUUAUUUAGUUGUUUAUAUAAGAAAGGAAAGAUCUUUUGAUUCAGAACUGCUAGUUUUUCUCUUAGAGCUAAUCUAUAAAUGAAAACUAUUUUCUUGCAAUACAUUUUUGAGGAAAAAAAAUUGACCAUUUUUAAUAUUUUAGAUCAAUUUUAAAUUGAUUUUACUUACUCUUUUGUGGAUUAAGUUAU